Molecule: ribosomal RNA, 821 nt
Filed under: uncultured eukaryote
Lineage: Eukaryota
Description: SSU rRNA
Rfam family: Eukaryotic small subunit ribosomal RNA
Source: RNAcentral
CGGUGUUUAACUGGCGUGAUGUGGGACGUCCUACCGGUGGGCUUAGCCUCGCGAGGGGCGGCCCAACUAAUAUCCCGUCGCGGUGCUCUUUACUGAGUGUCGAGUCGGGCCGGUACGUUUACUUUGAACAAAUUAGAGUGCUUAAAGCAGGCUAUCCUCGCCUGAAUACUGCGUGCAUGGAAUAAUGGAAUAGGACCUCGGUUCUAUUUUGUUGGUUUUCGGAACCCCGAGGUAAUGAUUAAUAGGGACAGAUGGGGGCAUUCGUAUUGCGACGUUAGAGGUGAAAUUCUUGGAUCGUCGCAAGACGGACAGAAGCGAAAGCAUUUGCCAAAAAUGUUUUCAUUAAUCAAGAACGAAAGUUAGAGGUUCGAAGGCGAUCAGAUACCGCCCUAGUUCUAACCAUAAACGAUGCCAGCUAGCGAUCCGCCGAAGUUCCUCCGAUGACUCGGCGGGCAGCUUCCGGGAAACCAAGGCUUUUGGGUUCCGGGGGAAGUAUGGUUGCAAAGCUGAAACUUAAAGGAAUUGACGGAAGGGCACCACCAGGAGUGGAGCCUGCGGCUUAAUUUGACUCAACACGGGAAACCUCACCAGGCCCAGACACCGGAAGGAUUGACAGAUUGAUAGCUCUUUCUUGAUUCGGUGGGUGGUGGUGCAUGGGCCGUUCUUAGUUGGUGGAGCGAUUUGUCUGGUUAAUUCCGAUAACGAACGAGACUCUAGCCUGCUAAAUAGGCGUACCUUAUGGUAUCGCGAAGGCCCCCGGCUUCGGCCGGUGGGUUUUUACUACCAACGUACAAACAAAUCUUCUUAGAGGGCACAGGCGG